Molecule: non-coding RNA, 617 nt
Organism: Paramuricea clavata
Lineage: Eukaryota; Metazoa; Cnidaria; Anthozoa; Malacalcyonacea; Plexauridae
Source: the annotation of a GenBank genome assembly
UUUGGCCUAGGGUUAAGCUAACAAGCUUGUGAACAACCAACCCCAAAAUAGUUUCAAUAGCGUCCAGUUCAUAGUUACUUUCUGUAAUGAAAAAAAUAGUAUAAAGGAUAACGAAAAGUGGAUGUAAAAACAGUGAAAAAAAUAACUGGAAUAAGUAAAAUAUAAAUAGUAGAAAAAAAAUGCUAGAAACCUAAUUAAAAAAUUGUGAAAAAAUUGUGGGAAAAAAAACACAACUGAAAGAAGUAGAAAAAUAGUAGAAAAUUAGAUUGAAAAAAUAAAUGUAAAAAUAGUGAAAAAUAAAUGUAAAAAUAGUGAAGAAAAAAUAAUAGAAAAUUACAUUGAAAAAAUAAUGAAAAAUAAAUGUAAAAAUAGUGAAGAAAAAAUAAUAGAAAAUUACAUUGAAAAAAUAAUGAAAAAUAAAUGUAAAAAUAUUGAAGAAAAAAUAAUAGAAAAUUACAUCGAAAAAUAAUGAAAAAUAGUCUUACAUAAUGAAAAAGUUGUGAAAAGAGAAACAACUGAAAGAAGUAAAACUGAAUAGAAGAAAAUUACAUCGAAAAAAUAUAAUAGUGAAAAAGUUGGAGAAACGUAGUAGAGAUCUUUGUAAAAGGAAUAAAAAU